This 301-nucleotide ribosomal RNA is filed under the name uncultured bacterium. Its description in RNAcentral is "partial 16S ribosomal RNA". It matches the Rfam family "Bacterial small subunit ribosomal RNA", at positions 509 to 808 of the family's 1533-position model. The record is from RNAcentral.
CAGUCGCCGCGGUAAUACGUAGGGGGCAAGCGUUAUCCGGAAUAACUGGGCGUAAAGGGUGCGCAGGUGGUUUGACAAGUUAGUGGUGAAAGGCAUAGGCUCAACCAAUGUAAGCCAUUAAAACUGUUUAACUUGAGUGCAGGAGAGGAAAGUGGAAUUCCUAGUGUAGCGGUGAAAUGCGUAGAUAUUAGGAGGAACACCGAUGGCGAAGGCAGCCCCCUGGGCCAAUACUGACGCUCAUGCACGAAAGCGUGGGGAGCAAACAGGAUUAGAUACCCCGGUAGUCCCUGUCUCUUAUACA